This 1114-nucleotide long non-coding RNA is filed under the name Monodelphis domestica (gray short-tailed opossum). RNAcentral describes it as "lncRNA (ENSMODG00000038789.1)". The record is from RNAcentral. Lineage: Eukaryota; Metazoa; Chordata; Mammalia; Didelphimorphia; Didelphidae.
UUUGAAUAAACCUUGAGUUACAUCUCCCCAGAAUGUGAACAAAAUACUAAAAAAAUAACCUUUAGCUUCCAUCUUAGGACCAAUACUGUAUUGUUUCCAAGGCAGAAGAGUGGUAAGGUCCAGGCAAGAGGGGUUAAGUGUCUUCCCCAGGUUCACACAGCUAGAAAAUGUCCAAGACCAAAUAUGAAGCCAAGACCUCCCAUCCAUAUAGCCAGCUCUCCAUUCAUUGAGCCACCUAGAUGUCCCUUUAACAAUGCAUUUUGAUGAUUGUCACUAUUUAUUGGCACAGAUUGUGCAUUUAGAAUUUAAAUAAUUUUUCUUCACAGCUUCUCCUUGUCUGAAAUCACAAUGGACUUUGUUCUACUCCUAGAAAAUGGACAGAAUUGGUGACAGGAUUGGAUGCAUAGGUCUUGCUGUCCAGGGGAGUAAAGUAUGCCUCAUAGUCUUCCAGUGGGCCACAGAGAGAACCAAUGACAUCAUGGGACAAUGUCUUGCUGUGCAUUAAUUGGAUUUAAGUGAGGCAGAGUUAUGCAAAGACAUCAGCCUCAUUCUCUCUGUCAGAGUCACCAAAGUCCAGUAGCAAGAGAAAAGUCAGGAUGACUGGGCAAUGACCCUUGAUGCAGCAGAUGACUUUGGUAUCUUCCAUGUCUGACCAAGUUCUCACUAUUCCACAGCAUCUGCUUCAACACUUUUAUGACUUUUAAAAUAUUUUUUCAUCUUCCCAUUCCUCCAGAAGAAGUCUUCACAGAAGUCUAGAAACCCCCCUAACUCCCUGUCAGUUCCUCUCAAUCUAAUUUAGCCCACCCACUGAGAUGAUUUUACUGGGAGUGUAGACACAGCACAUACUACAGUUUCUUGGAGCUACAGAUGAAAUGAAAGCUCAAUGAAAGGUGUACCCAAAAGGUGGAUGAGCAGCACUGAAAAGAGCAAACCAAUCCCUCACACCAGAGGCACUAGUCCUUCCUGAACACCCUAAAAUCUAUAUAUCCUAUACAAGAUAUAGGACUUCUAGAUAGAACAUGUAUUUAUAUAUAUAUACAUAUAUUAUAUACCCAUCUAUACUCAUACAUGAAUACAUAUAAAUAUUAUAUAUAUACUUUACCAUAUAUAUUUG